UUCCUCAAUGUGGGCAACGGUCACAAAUCUCCCAGUGAUGUGGACUAUGGAGGACAGGUGACUAUCUUUUCCAGAGGUGAUGAGGGCUCACUUUGAACACCCAUGAACACUAGGGAGAAAUCACAUGGAUUAUCUUGACUCGCAGCAAAGGGUAGAUAAUGUAUUCGUUAACCAUCAUUUUCCUAAAUAAUCAGUCACAACCUUACAGACACAUUGGGAACUUUCUUUUCAAGCUCCCGAGAGAGCUCGGGAAGGCCUGCUCAGGAAGACAAGACAUUUGGCCACGUGGUACCAGAUUCCUUCGGCACUCAAAAGGCUGAGGGACUAAGACCCUCUGAAAAACUGUCUGGGUGGCAGGACACUGUAGCUACUGUAUGCAAAGCCACAGUGGGAGGCACUGACCAUUGAACAAGUGCUCAGAGGCCAGAGAAGAAGCAGCUUUUCAAUGGAAUGAUCUCCGUGAUGCUCAAAACGAACACCUCCAAAGUGCAGGCAAAUUCCUCAACAUUGUUUUGGUAUUUGAGAUCAACAGAGAAGUUCAACUAAUACAUCAUCUACUAUCAAGGUAAAAACCUUUUCUGGAUUUAUUUAAAAGACAAAUAUCCUUCAGAUGGUAUAUAGCACUUUUCCCCAUGAAUUAUUGCCAUCAGGUCUCUCUCCACACUGGUCAACCCCUAUGACAUCAUCUGCAGCUUGAGAAACAUUGACCUGUGCAUUUCUUCACUUGUGAAUAUGAUUUCACGCUAUCAACAAUAUUAAACUGACUUACCAUGAGGUCCCUAACAGCCCACUGCCCACCAGAGGUAGUAGAAAAGAAAG
Molecule: small RNA, 819 nt
Filed under: Rattus norvegicus (Norway rat)
Lineage: Eukaryota; Metazoa; Chordata; Mammalia; Rodentia; Muridae
Description: uncharacterized LOC103694973
Source: RNAcentral